Octopus bimaculoides (California two-spot octopus) is the source of this 312-nucleotide long non-coding RNA. RefSeq lists it as uncharacterized. The record is from RefSeq and is a predicted model, not a curated record. Lineage: Eukaryota; Metazoa; Mollusca; Cephalopoda; Octopoda; Octopodidae.
AGAAGAUGAGGGUUUGGUGGAGCCAAGCUUAGGAUAAGAAAGGAAGAAGAAUCUGGCUGUAAACAAAGCAACUUAUUCCAGGGUUUGCUUCACUGUCACAGAUUGCCUCAGAAAAUGUCAGUAGGCUAUGGCCAUGCUGUCUUGAAGAAGCUGAGUUGAACAAAUCAACCCCAACAAUCGAAUUAAAACAGGGUUUCCCUCAGUGUCUCCGACCCGUGCAGACGAUCAGUGAUAUAAUAAUAACAAACACAUUAUGUGAAGAUAAUUAAACAGACUGACAUGGAGAUACAAACAUCAGGUAAGCAUCAGGUA